CCAAGGAGCCUAACAUGUGCGCGAGUCACUCAGUCUUGAACAGGCUUGAAGGGCGAAAUGAAAGUAAUCGCGUAUGAUCCUGUAGCGUAGACGCUCGCUGCUUGCAGCUUGCUGAACGUGAGGGCGCAGUACGGACCCGCCUUUGCUGUUAUUACGACGGCUUGGCGGAGUUUGAGCGCACAUGUUGGUACCCGAAAGAUGGUGAACUAUGCCCGGGCAGGACGAAGCCAGAGGAAACUCUGGUGGAGGUCUGUAGCGAUUCUGACGUGCAAAUCGAUCGUCAGACCUGGGUAUAGGGGCGAAAGACUAAUCGAACCAUC
Molecule: ribosomal RNA, 320 nt
Filed under: Trombiculidae cf. Hoffmaniella sp. AP-2010
Lineage: Eukaryota; Metazoa; Arthropoda; Arachnida; Trombidiformes; Trombiculidae
Description: eukaryotic LSU rRNA
Rfam family: Eukaryotic large subunit ribosomal RNA
Source: RNAcentral